RNAcentral lists this non-coding RNA (59 nucleotides) under Microcebus murinus (gray mouse lemur). Lineage: Eukaryota; Metazoa; Chordata; Mammalia; Primates; Cheirogaleidae. The record is from RNAcentral.
CUGGCGGCCAGCUCUGACCCUGUCCCCCCUGAGGGGUCCUGUACUGAGCUGCCCCGAGG